UACGUAGGGCGCAAGCGUUGUCCGGAAUUAUUGGGCGUAAAGAGCUCGUAGGCGGCCUGUUACGUCUGCUGUGAAAUCCCGGGGCUUAACCCCGGGCGUGCAGUGGAUACGGGCAGGCUGGAGGCAGGCAGGGGAGAACGGAAUUCCCGGUGUAGCGGUGAAAUACGCAGAUAUCGGGAGGAACACCGGUGGCGAAGGCGGUUCUCUGGGCCUGUACUGACGCUGAGGAGCGAAAGCGUGGGGAGCGAACAGG
This 253-nucleotide ribosomal RNA is filed under the name uncultured bacterium. RNAcentral describes it as "partial 16S ribosomal RNA". It matches the Rfam family "Bacterial small subunit ribosomal RNA", at positions 524 to 776 of the family's 1533-position model. The record is from RNAcentral.